This 820-nucleotide long non-coding RNA is filed under the name Bos mutus (wild yak). RNAcentral's name for it is "lncRNA (ENSBMUG00000021894.1)". The record is from RNAcentral. Lineage: Eukaryota; Metazoa; Chordata; Mammalia; Artiodactyla; Bovidae.
CUAGCAUUCCAUCAAGCGACCUCAUCACAGGGGAAUGAACUUUAUCUCUGAGACUCCUCCCGAGGUCACAUCUGUUGGGAAAAAUCCUUUUUGCGAGUGAAAGGGAGCGAGACAUACAUCACGGCUCCUGCCGAGGACGAACCUGCGGCCCCGCGACGCCCUGCUGACAGAUCGGCGCUGAUAACCCCGCGACGUUCAUUUCCAGCCCCUCUGCCGGCCAAGGACCGUAUCAGUUUGUACACAGUUGUGAUAACCAUUUGGAGGGAGCGAAGAAGGGUUCUCCAGGGAAAGUUCAGAGCAAACGGGACACCCAAACUCGGAGAGCACCUCCGGGCGCGACUGGCGUGGAAACCCCUUUCUACUCUGCGCACUUCAUGGACUAACCUUUCGGUGCACCGUGACCCCGAAUUAAAAGUUUCAGAUCCCAGGAGACAAGACUCCCGACGGCCACCACGACCUGAGCCCCAGAGUCUCGAGAAGAGAUCGGGAGAGUUUAAGGUCGGUCACACACAACUGUGGAGCAAAAAAGUUCAUUUACUGGGUCGAGAGGAGAGGGGAAGGCCGACGGAGGAAAGCACGGUCCCCCCCUUAUUCGGGGGGAGCGCUGACCCCGGAGCUGGAGCGUCGCUCCGGCUGUGGUGGCUGCGUGGGGUUGUGCGUGGUCAACUCCUCCCGCGCCAUCGCCCUCCCCUCCCCCCAACCCGCCCCCUUGAGAGCGCGUGUAACGGAGGGCGGAGGAAUGGGUGUGGGUCGCCAGCCAGAUCAGGCGUUCUGCCACCUCCGCCCCUCCCCCGGCGUCCCGGGGCUCGGCGCCCCCUGG